RNAcentral lists this ribosomal RNA (254 nucleotides) under uncultured prokaryote. Its description in RNAcentral is "partial 16S ribosomal RNA". It matches the Rfam family "Bacterial small subunit ribosomal RNA", at positions 524 to 776 of the family's 1533-position model. The record is from RNAcentral.
UACGGAGGAUCCAAGCGUUAUCCGGAAUUACUGGGCGUAAAGAGUUGCGUAGGUGGCAUUGUAAGUUGGUAGUGAAAGCGUGGGGCUCAACCCCAUAAACAUUACUAAAACUGCAAAGCUCGAGAAUGAGAGAGGUCGCUGGAAUUCCCUGUGUAGGAGUGAAAUCCGUAGAUAUAGGGAGGAACACCGAUGGCGUAGGCAGGCGACUGGCUCAUUUCUGACACUAAGGCACGAAAGCGUGGGGAGCAAACGGG